GCCUAAAAGCAUAAAGACCUUGACUUAGAUGCUUUAAAACAUGAAAAGAUGGUAGAUAGAGGAUACAUGUGUAAGUAAGGCGAAAUUUGGGCCUGUUUUGGGAAAUGGUUCAAAACAGCCCCUAGCUACCUAUAAUUUCAAAGUCAGGACUUGAUUUGGAUUUGGUUGUAUUACUAUCUAAUAAAAACUGUGUUGUAAGAAUCCCUUGAUAGCUAAGAAUUUUCAAAAUUGGAACUAUGUAUGUAUAUAUAAUUUAAUGACUACAUAUGCUAAAAGUGCUCACCUUAACUAAGCUAAAGAUUGAUUCUAGUUAUCAUGCUAUGAGUUCUGAACCUUGAUUUUGUAGAGUAAUAAAACCAUUGUUUACUAAGUUUAUAUGCCAAGAAUUGAAAUUGUUAGGUUGAGUGCUUAUACUUGUAAUAAGUGAUUGCUUAUGCUUAUGAUAAUAUGACAUAUUACUAUGCCUAGAACUGUUAUGGACUGGGACAGUAUGCUUGUGACUGGAAUGAGAAUAAAUGACUGUUAAAAGGACUGUAGUUGCUAUACUAAAUGUUAUUACAUUAUAUGAACUGUUAUGUGUUGCUUUACUAACUGUUGUAGUAUUUAAUUGACUGUUAUGCUAUUGUGAUAUUAUUAUGUACUGAAUUUAAGUAGAGGAGAUAGGAUGGGCUGAGGAGUAAUAAGGAGGACAAAAUUGGCUUUCUUACAUAAGCAAAUAUCUAUGACACAAGUAAUUCUAAACUGUGCACAUUAGUAGUUUGAUAAAAGUCCUUAAAGGAUUGUUUUGCUUAACUGUUGGUUAAUUGAUAGAAAUUAAAGCUUGGGCUAGAUACUUACACCACAUAUAAUGACAAUUAGAAAGUUUAAACUUACUAGACUACAAGGAGAUGCAAUUUCAAGCCAAAACCAUGGGUUGAAUUCAUUUUGUCAAGCUAUUUUAUCCACUAUUUUGGGUAGUGUCUUGGAAC
Molecule: long non-coding RNA, 968 nt
Filed under: Panax ginseng (ginseng)
Lineage: Eukaryota; Viridiplantae; Streptophyta; Magnoliopsida; Apiales; Araliaceae
Description: long non-coding RNA (PGIN_LNC000701)
Source: RNAcentral